GUCCACGCCGUAAACGAUGAGUGCUAGGUGUUGGGGGGUACCACCCUCAGUGCCGAAGCUAACGCAUUAAGCACUCCGCCUGGGGAGUACGGUCGCAAGACUGAAACUCAAAGGAAUUGACGGGGGCCCCGCACAAGCAGUGGAGCAUGUGGUUUAAUUCGAAGCAACGCGAAGAACCUUACCAAGACUUGACAUCCCGCUGACCGCUCUAGAGAUAGAGUUUCCCUUCGGGGCAGCGGUGACAGGUGGUGCAUGGUUGUCGU
Molecule: ribosomal RNA, 263 nt
Filed under: uncultured bacterium
Lineage: Bacteria
Description: partial 16S ribosomal RNA
Rfam family: Bacterial small subunit ribosomal RNA
Source: RNAcentral